UCGUAACAAGGUUUCCGUAGGUGAACCUGCGGAAGGAUCAUUACCGAGUGCGGGCUGCCUCCGGGCGCCCAACCUCCCACCCGUGACUACCUAACACUGUUGCUUCGGCGGGAAGCCCUCUCGGGGGCGAGCCGCCGGGGACUACUGAACUUCAUGCCUGAGAGUGAUGCAGUCUGAGUCUGAAUAUAAAAUCAGUCAAAACUUUCAACAAUGGAUCUCUUGGUUCCGGCAUCGAUGAAGAACGCAGCGAACUGCGAUAAGUAAUGUGAAUUGCAGAAUUCAGUGAAUCAUCGAGUCUUUGAACGCACAUUGCGCCCCCUGGCAUUCCGGGGGGCAUGCCUGUCCGAGCGUCAUUGCUGCCCAUCAAGCCCGGCUUGUGUGUUGGGUCGUCGUCCCCCCCGGGGGACGGGCCCGAAAGGCAGCGGCGGCACCGUGUCCGGUCCUCGAGCGCAUGGGGCUUUGUCACCCGCUCGAUUAGGGCCGGCCGGGCGCCAGCCGACGUCUCCAACCAUUUUUUUCAGGUUGACCUCGGAUCAGGUAGGGAUACCCGCUGAACCUAAGCAUAUCAAU
RNAcentral lists this unclassified non-coding RNA (570 nucleotides) under Aspergillus creber. RNAcentral's name for it is "sequence contains 18S rRNA gene, ITS1, 5.8S rRNA gene, ITS2, 28S rRNA gene". The stretch from base 200 to 353 matches the Rfam family "5.8S ribosomal RNA". The record is from RNAcentral. Lineage: Eukaryota; Fungi; Ascomycota; Eurotiomycetes; Eurotiales; Aspergillaceae.